UGGAUUGUUCUCCAACCUGGCUCU
This 24-nucleotide microRNA is filed under the name Cervus elaphus (red deer). Its description in RNAcentral is "PC-3p-18485". Lineage: Eukaryota; Metazoa; Chordata; Mammalia; Artiodactyla; Cervidae. The record is from RNAcentral.